CGUAGGGUGCAAGCGUUAAUCGGAAUUACUGGGCGUAAAGUGUGCGCAGGCGGUUCGCCAAGUCAGGUGUGAAAUCCCCGGGCUUAACCUGGGAAUUGCGCUUGAAACUAGCGGGCUUGAGUGCGGCAGAGGGGGUGGAAUUCCACGUGUAGCAGUGAAAUGCGUAGAGAUGUGGAGGAACACCGAUGGCGAAGGCAGCCCCCUGGGUCGACACUGACGCUCAUGCACGAAAGCGUGGGGAGCAAACAGGAUUAGAUACCCUGGUAGUCCACGCCCUAAACGAUGUCGACUAGGUGUUGGGGAAGGAGACUUCCUUAGUACCGCAGCUAACGCGUGAAGUCGACCGCCUGGGGAGUACGGUCGCAAGAUUA
Molecule: ribosomal RNA, 371 nt
Filed under: uncultured organism
Description: bacterial SSU rRNA
Rfam family: Bacterial small subunit ribosomal RNA
Source: RNAcentral